This 653-nucleotide ribosomal RNA is filed under the name Staphylococcus sp. RNAcentral describes it as "bacterial SSU rRNA". It matches the Rfam family "Bacterial small subunit ribosomal RNA", at positions 123 to 763 of the family's 1533-position model. The record is from RNAcentral. Lineage: Bacteria; Bacillati; Bacillota; Bacilli; Caryophanales; Staphylococcaceae.
AACCUACCUAUAAGACUGGAAUAACUUCGGGAAACCGGAGCUAAUGCCGGAUAACAUAUAGAACCGCAUGGUUCUAUAGUGAAAGAUGGUUUUGCUAUCACUUAUAGAUGGACCCGCGCCGUAUUAGCUAGUUGGUAAGGUAAAGGCUUACCAAGGCGACGAUACGUAGCCGACCUGAGAGGGUGAUCGGCCACACUGGAACUGAGACACGGUCCAGACUCCUACGGGAGGCAGCAGUAGGGAAUCUUCCGCAAUGGGCGAAAGCCUGACGGAGCAACGCCGCGUGAGUGAUGAAGGUUUUCGGAUCGUAAAACUCUGUUAUUAGGGAAGAACAAAUGCGUAAGUAACUGUGCGCAUCUUGACGGUACCUAAUCAGAAAGCCACGGCUAACUACGUGCCAGCAGCCGCGGUAAUACGUAGGUGGCAAGCGUUAUCCGGAAUUAUUGGGCGUAAAGCGCGCGUAGGCGGUUUCUUAAGUCUGAUGUGAAAGCCCACGGCUCAACCGUGGAGGGUCAUUGGAAACUGGGAAACUUGAGUGCAGAAGAGGAAAGUGGAAUUCCAUGUGUAGCGGUGAAAUGCGCAGAGAUAUGGAGGAACACCAGUGGCGAAGGCGACUUUCUGGUCUGUAACUGACGCUGAUGUGCGAAAGCGUG